UACGGGGGGGGCAAGCGUUGUUCGGAAUUACUGGGCGUAAAGGGCUCGUAGGCGGCCAACUAAGUCGGACGUGAAAUCCCUCGGCUUAACCGGGGAACUGCGUCCGAUACUGGAUGGCUUGAGUUCGGGAGAGGGAUGCGGAAUUCCAGGUGUAGCGGUGAAAUGCGUAGAUAUCUGGAGGAACACCGGUGGCGAAGGCGGCAUUCUGGACCGAUAUUGACGCUGAGACGCGAAAGCAUGGGGAGCAAACAGG
This 253-nucleotide ribosomal RNA is filed under the name uncultured bacterium. Its description in RNAcentral is "partial 16S ribosomal RNA". It matches the Rfam family "Bacterial small subunit ribosomal RNA", at positions 524 to 776 of the family's 1533-position model. The record is from RNAcentral.